RNAcentral lists this transfer RNA (73 nucleotides) under Paragonimus heterotremus. It matches the Rfam family "tRNA". Rfam says of the family: Transfer RNA (tRNA) molecules are approximately 80 nucleotides in length. Their secondary structure includes four short double-helical elements and three loops (D, anti-codon, and T loops). Further hydrogen bonds mediate the characteristic L-shaped molecular structure. tRNAs have two regions of fundamental functional importance: the anti-codon, which is responsible for specific mRNA codon recognition, and the 3' end, to which the tRNAs corresponding amino acid is attached (by aminoacyl-tRNA synthetases). tRNAs cope with the degeneracy of the genetic code in two manners: having more than one tRNA (with a specific anti-codon) for a particular amino acid; and 'wobble' base-pairing, i.e. permitting non-standard base-pairing at the 3rd anti-codon position. Lineage: Eukaryota; Metazoa; Platyhelminthes; Trematoda; Plagiorchiida; Troglotrematidae. The record is from Rfam by way of RNAcentral.
GCCUCCAUAGCUCAAUGGAUAGAGCACUGGUCUUGUAAACCAGGAGUUGGGAGUUCAAUCCUCUCUAGGGGAA